Molecule: RNA transcript, 6560 nt
Organism: Motacilla alba alba
Lineage: Eukaryota; Metazoa; Chordata; Aves; Passeriformes; Motacillidae
Gene name: aryl hydrocarbon receptor-like
Exons: 13
Source: RefSeq, a predicted model, not a curated record
UCCAUUACACACCAGCCCCCCGCAGCCCCAAACCCCCGUCUCCCCCCUCGCUGGGGGCGGGCCGUUCCCGCUCCCCUUCCCGCUCCCCCUCUGCCUGCCUCUCUCCCUGAGGGAGCGGCGCUCGGGCGCUGCCGGCCCGGCCAUGUACGCGGGCCGCAGGCGGAGGAAGCCGGUGCCGCGGGCGACGCGGCUGGGCGCGGCCGAAGGCGGCGGCUCCAACCCGUCCAAGCGGCACCGGGAGCGGCUGAACCGGGAGCUGGAGCGGCUGGCGGGGCUGCUGCCCUUCCCGCCCGACGUGGUGGCCGGGCUGGACAAGCUCUCGGUGCUCCGCCUCAGCGCCGGCUUCCUGCGCGCCAGGAGCUUCUUGGGCGUUGCUCUGGAGAAUCCUGGUGCCAAAGAAGCCCAGAGGGACGGAGCCUGUGGCACUGGACCAGCUCUGGGCUCAGCAGCAGUUCCAGAGGGUGAGCUGCUCCUACAGGCACUCAAUGGCUUUGUGCUGGUGGUGACAUCAGAAGGGCUGAUAUUUUACUCCUCACAUACAAUCCAGGACUAUCUGGGAUUUCACCAGACAGAUGUCAUGCACCAGAGCGUCUUUGAGCUGAUCCACACUGAGGACCAGUCGGAGUUCAGGCGCAACCUCCACUGGGCCCUGGACCCACCGCACGCUCCUGAGGGUGAGCCUUCUGCAGCAGCAGGGAAGAGUCUUAGCUCUUCUGCUGUCAUCUACAAGCCGGAUCAGCUGCCCCCAGAAAACUCCUCCUUCCUGGAGAGGAGCUUUGUGUGCCGCUUUCGCUGCCUCCUGGAUAAUUCCUCCGGCUUCCUGGCUUUGAACCUUCAAGGCAGGCUGAAAUUCCUUCAUGGGCAGAACGGAAGGUCUGAAGAUGGCUCUGUCCUGCCCCCCCAGCUCGCUCUGUUCGCCAUCUCCACGCCCCUGCAGCCUCCGUCCAUCCUGCAGAUCCGAACCAAGAACAUGAUCUUCAGGACCAAGCACAAGCUGGACUUCACCCCCUUGGCGUGUGAUGCCAAGGGGAAGAUUGUCCUGGGCUACACCGAGGCGGAGCUGCGGAUGUGUGGCACCGGAUACCAGUUUGUCCACGCUGCUGACAUGCUGUACUGUGCUGAGAACCACGUCAGGAUGAUGAAGACGGGGGAGAGCGGCCUGACGGUGUUCCGGCUGCUGACCAAGGACAACCGCUGGAAGUGGGUGCAGGCCAACGCCCGGCUCGUCUACAAGAAUGGCAAACCCGAGUACAUCGUGGUCACACAGAGACCCCUCGUAGAUGAAGAAGGAGGAGAGCACCUUCGGAAGCGGUCCAUGCAUCUUCCCUUCACCUUUGCUACAGGAGAGGCACUUCUAUACCAAAGUACUCAUCCUCUCCCAGGCUUCCCUGACCUUUUCCAGAGCAAAGGGAAACUCAGCAAGUCCAAGAAGCCCUCCUGCAGCCAUGCAGGGCGCUCCCAGAAGAAUGGCAUUGACCCCAGGUCUCUGCUGGGUGCUGUGAUGCAGCAGGACAAGGCGGUGUACACCUCCCACUCAGCUCCCAUUCCGAACCCUUCCUCUUGCAGCACUUUCCAGCUCAAGGGUUUGUCCUUACCAGGUGUAGGAGGGGAUGCCUGGAGUAUGGGCACAGCUCCAGCUUCUUCAAGGGGCAACAGCCUCCAAGAGAAGCUGCUGGAUUUGCAGCAGGAGGACAGUCUCUUGGCCACCAUGGACUUGCUCUCAAUUAAGAGUGACCAGAGGUGUUCCAACGAGUUCUUCAGUGCUUUGGAGGGCCUGGGCUUGAAUGCUGAGGACCUGGAGCUCCUGCUGCUGGAUGAGAAAAUGGUGAUGGUCAGUACGGACCCAGACCAGUCCCCAUCCCUGAAUAACAGCCUGGCCAGCAACCAGAUUCUCUCCUGUGUCCCCAGCCCUCCAGUGGAUGGGCAUGAGGGAGGGCAGCAGGUCUGUCCCCUGACAGACACGCCCCCCACCCCACAGGGAGGCACUGCUCCGUGCCACAUGGAGAGCAAGGACUCGGGGUGCCACCUGGCACAGCACGCAGGGCAGCCCAGCACUGUCCUGGCCCAGCCCCCCAUGCUGCUGUGGGAGCAGCCCCUCAGUGCCGUGCCAGGGCUGCUCCCAGAGCUGGCUGAGGAGGAAAAUCUGUCCAGUGGCUCCCAGUGGAGACCAGCUGGGGAGGAGACUGUACUCCACUCCUUCCAGCCAGUGCAGGGCACCCCAUGGCACAGGACCCCUAGCUCAGCCCCCGGAGCUCCUUGCCCACAGGAGCCACCCGGGGCCCAGCAGCUGCAGGGAGACUUCUCAGUCGUGCAGCCCCUCCAGGAGGAUAUCCACCAACCCUUCUCCCUGUCCAGCCAGUGCCAGGACCAUGUGGCACCACCCAGCCAGGCCAAGCACCAUCACUUGCUGGUGAACGGGGUCUGUGGCCACUGCCCCAGCUCUUGUGCACAGCCCAGCCCAUGGCAGGCCUAUGUUUGCCCCCUGCUGCAGGCUCCGGCUCCGCCUGGCGUUCAUGGCCUCAGCAAAGACGUCAUCUCCCAGCCCCAGGGCUGCUUGGGCCCCGGGCCUGGCGUGCCCCCACAGCAUUUUAACCUGAACGGAUUACGCAGCGUGGAUGCUGCUGGCACUGGGGAUUCCUGGGAAGAGAUGGCUCCGUGCCCCAGGGUUUUUCCCCCUUUCUACCAGCUCGUUCCUGAAAUGCAGCUGAGCUCUGUUCUUUCCGUGCCCCAGUUCUCUUCCUCCAGCUCAGCUGCAGGGCACUUUGGGAGCAUCAGCAGCCCUCUGGAGACACUGAAUUCCUAUGGGACACACGGCUCUGCGUGGAGCCAGGAGGGCAGGCACAGGCCCUGCAGCGGCUGUGGUGUGCCCAGCUCUCCCAUGCGACUGCCCCAAGACCAUCCAGUGCCGGGGGGAAGCCCGGCACUGCCCUCCCAGCCUCAGCCCCGGGCAGAAGUGCUGCCGGAUCCUCUUCACGCCUCCAGGGGGGACUCCUAUCUCUAGGAGAGACAAGAAUGGACAAAGCAGGACUAUCCCCUGGGGAAGGAGCUACCUUCAAGCUGCAGAUAAAAAACCUUUCCCAGUGCUGUGCACAUCCUGCCAGUGCUAUUGAUGUUGGUUGCUUUGGCUCACCUGGGUUUUUUUUCUCAACUUCCCACCAUCCUGCUCCCUGUGCUGGUGUCCCUGGCGUGGGGAGGGACAGCAGCAGGCAGCAGGGCUGGAGGACAGAUUUCCCAGGGUGCUGGAGCAGGCUGAGCUGUGGUUGCAGGUCACCCCAUGAGUGCGACCAAAGCUUCACCAAAGCUUUGUAUUGACGUGCAUGAUCCAGCAUGGGUUCCAGCCUCGUGAAAGCCUGCCCUAAAGAAAGACACAGAAACGUUUUUGCCUCUGGUGUUAAAUUUCCCAGCCAGGUACCUGUGGCUGUGGCCAUGUUGUACAGAUUACUGUGUGUUUUAUAAAGAAAAUGAGCCCCAUGUGGUGUUCUUGUGCUGCUCUGGUCUUUCCUCACCCCAGUUUUCCUUGUGCCAGAUGUUUCCCAGUGUUUGGGAACCAGGUUAGGGCUCCUGUAGCAAACACCCUGAGCUUUGCUGUGCUGUACAAGACAUGCCGAGAUUGGCUGCUAAACUGGUUUUCUCUGGGUGCUGGCCUCUCAGGUACUGUCAGACUUCAAGUCUCAAAGUUUUCAGUUAAAAACCAGAAAUUUCAAUGGGAUAAAGAAAAUAAGCAUAAUGCUACUUAAUGGUAGGUACUGAGAGAGUGAUGUUUUCCCACAGGAAAAAAAAAAACCCUCCACAGCCCAUAUGUGUGUAUAUAGUAUGAGUUGACAGAUUUAUUUUUAUGCCACUCCAGUGGAAGGAAAAAACAACCUCUUACCAUCCCAAAGCAGCAUCCUGUGGAAUGGGAUGAAAAGGUUGUUUAAAGAUCAGAAACACGGUUACACUUCAAGAAACCUGAUGAAGCUCAUCCCUCCUUCAGCUUGCCAGGCUUUGGAUUCAUGUGAAUUCCCGUCGGUUUUGUUUCAAUAAAUGGUUUUGGAGCUCCUCUCUGAUGUUUCCCUUGCUGGUUGUGUCUCUUCCCAACGCGGAGCCCGUCAGCGUUUGCGGCACUGGAGCUCAGGCCUUGCCACUGGUGACCUGAGACGCAGUGGGUUGGAUUGGAAGGGAUUCUGAGGAGCACUUGGAGCCUUUGGGAUGCACACAGUCCACCUGUUAGCUCCUGCCAUGGAUGUUUGAAAGGGAUUGAGAAAUCUGACAGAGAAAGGUAAGUGUAUUAAAAACAAAGUACAAUAUUUAUAUAUUAUAUACAUAUAUAAUAUAUAUGUAUGUAAAGUUGCAUGUAGAUAUAUUGAAAUAUAAAGUCUGUGUGUUUAUAAAGUGUAUGUAGUUUCUAGUAUGUAAUAGAAAACAUCUUUUAAGACAAAUGAACUGAUUCUUUGCCCCUGCACUAUUGUUUUUCAACUUGGAAACUAGAAAAAACACAGGUUUCUUUGCUCUGAAUGCUGAAUUUUCCAACAUUCCCACCCCUACCUGGCACCUGUUUUUCCUUAGCAAAACAAGGCAGUUUUGUAACGUUUCUGAAUUUUUGAUGGAGCAUUUGAUCUUUUAUGGUUUCUGUGCUCUACUCUGCUUUUUUCCUCCCUGUUUCUUCAGAGGAGUUGGCUCUGGGUGGCACCACCUGUGCUGAGAGGGAAGGAGGAAUGGGACCAGAGCAUCCCUGGGGCUGCAGCUUGGUGGCUUCCAGCUGAGUCCCAGAUGCUGAGCACAACCUGACCACUGUCAAACUUCCUCCUUGAGCCAGCUCCUAGAUGUGUAGGCAGCCAUUCCAUGACCAGCUGCCCUGAUGGGUUUCUCCUCUUCCUUGCCGUGCAUCUCCACAGCACCACGAGCUUCCCUGCAGCCCAGGUGACCUCAGGAAGACUGCAGCCCUGCUGGCUGUGUCACUGUGUCACUUUUAGUGAGCCCAGCGUGGGUUUGUUCAGCACUGUGUCUGUGAGGCCUGUGGAGCACGAGCCAUCAUUUCUGUGGAGGGAGCUGCUCUGCUCCCAAAGUAGGCCGGCACAUCCAUAAUUUAUGCCCUUCCUCAUGGCAGCUGCUGCCUGUCUUCCCCUGGGCCUCAUGGCAUUGAUUGUUGACACACCAGGCUGGCCCAGAGAGCCUUGCUGAAGAAAAUCUUCCUUUUGCAGCGAGGGAGGUGCCUCUGUUCAUCACCCCAGCAUCUGCAACCUGCCCUGAGCUGUGGUGGUAAGAAAGGGGAGUUGGGCAGCUGUGCAUUUAUGCUCUGGUUUGCACAUCUGGAGGGAGCGUGGUCCCAUGGGGCAGAUUAAUCCCUGAGAACUGGAUGAGGCCAAGGAAGUGUGAGGAAAGAGUUUGGAGGCAUACAGAAUCAUAGAAUAUCCUGAGCUGGAAGGAUCACUGAGGUCCUGGCCCUGCACAGGACAGCUCCGAGGAUCCCGUACCGUGCUUGGGUUUGGCAAUGCUUGUGUAGCUGUAGGCUCAGCUCCAUGUGGGAAAGGGCAGGAAGAGCUGUGGUGCUCCUUGCGGCAGGGUAAGAUGCACAUAUGGAGGGGCAGGAGGAGGAGAGCAGAGGGCAUUUAUCGUUUGCCUCUUUUCCCUUCCCUUCCUGCCCGCUGCGUUCCCAAAUGCCAGCCAGGACAAGGGCCUGUGAGACACAGCCUGCAGCAGAAGGGGGCUCCUGUCCUGAGCCAGCUGGGAGAGGUGACAUCUGAUACUGGCUGCAUCCAUGAGGCUGAAAGCAUCAGUCCCCAGCUGGCAUCACGGAGGCCAGGAUAUCUCCCUGGGCCCCAGGACAGCAGAGAGCAAGCAGGACUGAAGUUCCUGCAGCGAAGGAGGCUUUGAAGAAACAUGGAAGGGAGGCCAGGCAAGGCUGUGGCAAGCUGGGAGAGGAACAGGCCAAGCAUUAUCCAUGCUGGCUGCGCUCCUGUGGAGGCUAAGGCCAAAAUACAGGAAUUUUCUGUCCAAAAUAGUCCGGAUCCCCCUGUUUGUGCUGGCAGUAUUCCUUGCCAAGGUGGGUAUUGAAGGCAUCUUAAAGUCCGUCCACGUGGUACCUGAAACCACUGAUAUAAGCUUGGUCUCACUUCCCAGUUAGGUGUGAUCCUGUGUAUGUUCCUUGGAUCAUUUGGAUUUUCCUCAUUCAUUAUUACCCCUUUACCAUUUGAGAGUCAAUUUUGUACCACUCGGUUCAGAUGCUCUCGUCCUCUUCUCAGGUUCCUUCACAGUCCUCUUUGGUUUUGUUGGUGAGGAUCCGCUGCUGUUCCUUGGUCUGGAUCACAGUUACAUUCCUAAGUAUUGCCUGGGAAAGAUCUUAAAAGACUGUCUUAAGAUGUGUUUUGAAGGAUUAUUUUUUCUAUCAAAAGUUCUGAUCAUUUACCACACUGUUUCUUUUGCCUCAUAGGUAACAUGUUCAAAAUAUAUCUUAAACUUUACUUCAUAAGGUGACAGCUCCCAGGCUUGAAUCACAUGUUGUAUUCUCUUAAACCCAAACUUCAUGACAAUUUUUGUACUCAUGGGUAACAUUCACAACCAGUUACUUAUGCAAUUUAUAU